CAGCAAGGACACGAAGGGAUAAGGCCCA
Molecule: non-coding RNA, 28 nt
Filed under: Mus musculus (house mouse)
Lineage: Eukaryota; Metazoa; Chordata; Mammalia; Rodentia; Muridae
Source: RNAcentral